UCCUGUGGGAUAGCUUAGUUGGUAGAGCAUGAGACUCAAGGUUGUGGGUUCGAGUCCCACGUUGGGUGAA
This is a non-coding RNA of Podarcis lilfordi (Lilford's wall lizard), 70 nucleotides long. NCBI's taxonomy places the organism in Eukaryota, Metazoa, Chordata, Lepidosauria, Squamata, Lacertidae. The record is from the annotation of a GenBank genome assembly.